GGGUUGUGAGGUUAAGCGACUAAGCGUACACGGUGGAUGCCCUGGCAGUCAGAGGCGAUGAAGGGCGUGCUAAUCUGCGAUAAGCGCCGGUAAGGUGAUAUGAACCGUUAUAACCGGCGAUACCCGAAUGGGGAAACCCAGUGUGAUUCGUCACACUAUCAUUAACUGAAUCCAUAGGUUAAUGAGGCGAACCGGGGGAACUGAAACAUCUAAGUACCCCGAGGAAAAGAAAUCAACCGAGAUUCCCCCAGUAGCGGCGAGCGAACGGGGAGGAGCCCAGAGCCUGAAUCAGCAUGUGUGUUAGUGGAAGUGUCUGGAAAGGCGCGCGAUACAGGGUGACAGCCCCGUACACAAAAGCGCAUGUGCUGUGAGCUCGAUGAGUAGGGCGGGACACGUGGUAUCCUGUCUGAAUAUGGGGGGACCAUCCUCCAAGGCUAAAUACUCCUGACUGACCGAUAGUGAACCAGUACCGUGAGGGAAAGGCGAAAAGAACCCCGGCGAGGGGAGUGAAAAAGAACCUGAAACCGUGUACGUACAAGCAGUGGGAGCACAGGUUUACCUGUGUGACUGCGUACCUUUUGUAUAAUGGGUCAGCGACUUAUAUUCUGUAGCAAGGUUAACCGUAUAGGGGAGCCG
This 636-nucleotide ribosomal RNA is filed under the name Salmonella enterica. Its description in RNAcentral is "partial 23S ribosomal RNA". It matches the Rfam family "Bacterial large subunit ribosomal RNA", at positions 1 to 668 of the family's 2925-position model. The record is from RNAcentral. Lineage: Bacteria; Pseudomonadati; Pseudomonadota; Gammaproteobacteria; Enterobacterales; Enterobacteriaceae.